AGGAAGGAGUGGACCUGGGAUGAAGGGAAAAUGGUCGUCAUGCAUGACCCCGUAUACAGGUGAGCCACUGCAAAUGGUUUGUCUCUUUCCUUCGUUGCCCCACUGACACACACACCCCCACCCCAAAAGUUAGGAGGGUGGAUCUUAAAUCUGAAUUGAGACUCUGCUGAUUUGGGCUUUCCUGCCCAGAAAGGGGGGGGGGCUUUUCAAAGAGCCACCCAGGAAGUUGGCAAGAUGGAUGCCACACACCAGAGAGGGACCUGUCGUUUAUUUGGGGACGAUGGGUGGGCUCGAUCCUUCGCCUGCCUUCACGAGGGGGGAGGGCGAGGAGAGGAAAGCAUCCGUGUGCCAAAAUGCGAUGUAAACACUGCUCCCUUCCCUCCCUGGGUGCAGCGCGCAGCAGGCGGUGGUUGUAAUCCCACAAAAGCUCCUAAUGUGGACCAGGUGAUUUGGUCCCCUAAGCUGGUGUAAUGGCAUCGUCUUCCUCGGAGCGGCGCGGCGCCUCCCGGGGAGACCAAGGCAUGGGGUGGGUUUGCAAGCGUGUACAGCUGCGAAGGGACCGUGCUUUUUACACCUUUGCAUGCAUCUCUUUCUCUCUCCCACCCUGCCUCUUAGGAUCUUCUACGUUUCGCACGACUCCCAAGACUUGAAGAUUUUCAGCUACAUCGCCAGGGACGGCACCAACAAUUCCUUCCGGUGCAACGUCUUUAAGUCCAAAAAGAAGGUGAGAAAGAGAGGUUGAGCUACGCCGGUCCCCCCUUCUCCUCUCCCUUCUCUUCCCUCCCUCCUGUUCUGGCCCUUAAGAAGAGAGGAAGGCCCUCUCAACCGGAUCAGGACCUCGAUCCGCCCGGCAGGAGUGUUUUCCCUGCAUGGGACAUCUCCAGCCUGGCCCCCUCAACCCUACUCAGAUUUGGAAUUCACAAGAGGCUUUUGGAGGGUGGUACGUAGUGGCAGCUCAUGCCAAAGCUGCAGUUCCCCCCCCCCACAGACUCAGGCCAUGCGCGUCGUGCGGACGGUGGGCCAGGCGUUUGAGGUGUGCCACAAGCUGAGUCUCCAGCACGCCCUCCAGAACGCGGACGGGCAAGCCGACGGGGCCAGCAAUAACUCGGCCGAGGACCCCCCGCUGGAAGGUUUCCCGAUAGCCGGGCCCACCAUGGCUGAUGGGGAAAGCGCCCCCGUCGCUUCCAUCGAGGGGACGUGCACAUGCGGGACCGGCGGAGGGGCCCCUGACCUGCCUUUGGCCUUGGCCGACUUGGGGCCCCCAACGUCUGCUCUGAAACUAAAGGACAGGAGCGGCCAGGUAAGAAGAGCUGGCCCCGGUAGGCAGCCCCAUCCUUCGUACCUUCUAGCAGCCCCCCCCUGCAAUCUCUUCCUCCCGCCGAGGAGCCUGGAGAGAAGGAGGAGUUCAUGAUUUUAUCGGCAUGACUUCAUGGGUUCAUCUCUCCAGUUGUCUAGAUCUGUGCGAUGUGGCCGGGAGUAGAGGGUAAGGGAAACUCCACCACCUGUUCCUCUGUGGCUGCUUUUUUCUUUUGGUUCGUAGGACAACGAGAACGGCGCCCUCCGCCCCGCGACGGCACAGCCCCUGGGUAGCCCUGCCAGCCCCUGCUCCUCGGCCUCGGUCGCCCCGCUGGCCUCUCAGCACUGCCUCCAGCUGCUCCAGCAUCAGCUCCUCCAGCAGCAGCAGCAGACGCAGGUGGCCGUAGCCCAGGUAACAUCCACCCCCCUACACACACACACACACACACAAGGGCAAGCAAAGGGGUUGCAAAGCCACAAAGGGACUACGGCGACCAUUCCUCUGAAUCAUCCGGGGGAGUCACGCCCCCCACCCCAAUCUGUUCCACUUGUUGCAGGACUACAGUCCCCAUCAUCCCUUACUCCUAGCCGUCUUGGCGGCUGGAGCCCAGCCGCUUCAGAGGACCCUAUGUUUUCCACCUCUGUCCUGAAUAAAAAUCCGUGGCUUAUACUAAGCA
RNAcentral lists this long non-coding RNA (1973 nucleotides) under Pogona vitticeps (central bearded dragon). RNAcentral describes it as "lncRNA (ENSPVIG00000025689.1)". The record is from RNAcentral. Lineage: Eukaryota; Metazoa; Chordata; Lepidosauria; Squamata; Agamidae.